AUCACUAAGCGGAGGAAAAGAAACUAACAAGGAUUCCCCUAGUAGCGGCGAGCGAACCGGGAGAAGCCCAGCUUGAAAAUCGCGCCGCGUCUUCCGACGUUGUAGUCUGGAGAAGCGUCCUCUGUUGCGGACUCGGCCCAAGUCCCCUGGAAAGGGGCGUCAGAGAGGGUGAGAACCCCGUCGGGCUGAGACCCUGCAGCUCCACGAGGCGCUGUCGACGAGUCGGGCUGUUUGGGAAUGCAGCCCUAAGCGGGAGGUAAAUUCCUUCCAAGGCUAAAUACUGGCGAGAGACCGAUAGCGAACAAGUACCGCGAGGGAAAGAUGAAAAGGACUUUGAAAAGAGAGUUAAAAAGUGCUUGAAAUUGCUGGGAGGGAAGCGAAUGGAGGCCUCGUGUGCGCCCCGGUCGGAUGCGGAACGGCGCAAGCUGGUCCGCCGCUCGACGCGGGGUGCUGGUCAGCGUGGGCUGGUUCGGCGGGACAAAAGUCGGGCUUCAGUGCCCGGCCGAUGCCGUCGAGUCGGCCGAGGAAUCGAAGCGCGCGUCCCCUCUCUCGGGGACGGGACCCGCGGGUCACCUGCGCGCUCGAGACGUUGGCGUAGUGGGCUU
This 605-nucleotide ribosomal RNA is filed under the name Marchantia quadrata. RNAcentral's name for it is "partial 26S ribosomal RNA". It matches the Rfam family "Eukaryotic large subunit ribosomal RNA", at positions 42 to 640 of the family's 3401-position model. The record is from RNAcentral. Lineage: Eukaryota; Viridiplantae; Streptophyta; Marchantiopsida; Marchantiales; Marchantiaceae.